This 247-nucleotide signal recognition particle RNA is filed under the name Deltaproteobacteria bacterium. RNAcentral's name for it is "signal recognition particle sRNA large type". It matches the Rfam family "Bacterial large signal recognition particle RNA". Rfam says of the family: The signal recognition particle (SRP) is a universally conserved ribonucleoprotein involved in the co-translational targeting of proteins to membranes. Archaeal SRP consists of a 7S RNA and homologues of the eukaryotic SRP19 and SRP54 proteins. In most bacteria, the SRP consists of a 4.5S RNA and the Ffh protein (a homologue of the eukaryotic SRP54 protein). Lineage: Bacteria; Pseudomonadati; Myxococcota; Myxococcia. The record is from RNAcentral. RNAcentral also lists the same sequence under 1 other name.
UUGUGCUAGGCGGGGAGUUAGCGGUGCCCUCAUCCCGAAAUCCGCUUCAUGCGGGGCUGAAUCCCCCCUCGAGGACCGACCCCGGGUCGCCCGGGUCGCACUGGCCGGUCGCCGCGCAACAGACGGUUACGAACCUCGUCAGGUCCGGAAGGAAGCAGCGAUAAGUAAUGCGGUCUGUGUCGCGGAUCGAUCCCGGCCAUGCUUGCGCCCACCGCCACUCGGAAACGGUUCGGAAGGGGGUGCACAA